RNAcentral lists this transfer RNA (75 nucleotides) under Flabellia petiolata. Its description in RNAcentral is "tRNA-Trp". It matches the Rfam family "tRNA". Rfam says of the family: Transfer RNA (tRNA) molecules are approximately 80 nucleotides in length. Their secondary structure includes four short double-helical elements and three loops (D, anti-codon, and T loops). Further hydrogen bonds mediate the characteristic L-shaped molecular structure. tRNAs have two regions of fundamental functional importance: the anti-codon, which is responsible for specific mRNA codon recognition, and the 3' end, to which the tRNAs corresponding amino acid is attached (by aminoacyl-tRNA synthetases). tRNAs cope with the degeneracy of the genetic code in two manners: having more than one tRNA (with a specific anti-codon) for a particular amino acid; and 'wobble' base-pairing, i.e. permitting non-standard base-pairing at the 3rd anti-codon position. Lineage: Eukaryota; Viridiplantae; Chlorophyta; Ulvophyceae; Bryopsidales; Halimedaceae. The record is from RNAcentral.
UGCAUCCUUAGUUCAGUUGGUAGAACAUAGGUUUCCAAAACCUAAUGUGGUGGGUUCAAUUCCUACAGGAUGCGU